CCUACGGGAGGCUGCAGUGGGGAAUAUUGGACAAUGGGGGCAACCCUGAUCCAACCAUGCCGCGUGUGUGAAGAAGGCCCUCGGGUUGUAAAGCACUUUCAGUGAGGAAGAACGCCUGGUGGUUAAUACCCAUCAGGAAAGACAUCACUCACAGAAGAAGCACCGGCUAACUCCGUGCCAGCAGCCGCGGUAAUACGGAGGGUGCGAGCGUUAAUCGGAAUUACUGGGCGUAAAGCGCGCGUAGGUGGCUUGAUAAGCCGGUUGUGAAAGCCCCGGGCUCAACCUGGGAACGGCAUCCGGAACUGUCAAGCUAGAGUGCAGGAGAGGAAGGUAGAAUUCCCGGUGUAGCGGUGAGAUGCGUAGAGAUCGGGAGGAAUACCAGUGGCGAAGGCGGUCUUCUGGACUGACACUGACACUGAGGUGCGAAAGCGUGGGUAGCAAACAGGAUUAGAUACCCCGGUAGUC
This 465-nucleotide ribosomal RNA is filed under the name Vreelandella stevensii. RNAcentral's name for it is "partial 16S ribosomal RNA". It matches the Rfam family "Bacterial small subunit ribosomal RNA", at positions 338 to 795 of the family's 1533-position model. The record is from RNAcentral. Lineage: Bacteria; Pseudomonadati; Pseudomonadota; Gammaproteobacteria; Oceanospirillales; Halomonadaceae.